Molecule: unclassified non-coding RNA, 344 nt
Filed under: soil metagenome
Description: partial contains 5.8S ribosomal RNA, internal transcribed spacer 2, and large subunit ribosomal RNA
Rfam family: 5.8S ribosomal RNA (bases 1-120)
Source: RNAcentral
GAUGAAGAACGCAGUGAAAUGCGAUACGUAAUGUGAAUUGCAGAAUUCAGUGAAUCAUCGAGUCUUUGAACGCACAUUGCGCCCCCUGGUAUUCCGGGGGGCAUGCCUGUCCGAGCGUCAUUGCUGCCCUCAAGCACGGCUUGUGUGUUGGGCCUCCGUCCUCCUCCCGGGGGACGGGCCCGAAAGGCAGCGGCGGCACCGCGUCCGGUCCUCGAGCGUAUGGGGCUUCGUCACCCGCUCUUGUAGGCCCGGCCGGCGCUUGCCGACACAUCAAUCUUUUUUCCAGGUUGACCUCGGAUCAGGUAGGGAUACCCGCUGAACUUAAGCAUAUCAAUAAGGGAGGA